Molecule: unclassified non-coding RNA, 268 nt
Filed under: Hevea brasiliensis (rubber tree)
Lineage: Eukaryota; Viridiplantae; Streptophyta; Magnoliopsida; Malpighiales; Euphorbiaceae
Source: RNAcentral
AGACUGCCCUUGCCCAAUUAGUGUUUAAUGAUGAGAAAGUGGUGAAUUGUUUUGAUUUGAAAAUAUGGGUAUGUAUUUCCGAGGAGUCAAAUGUUCAAAUGCUAGUAAAAAUGAUCCUUAAAAGUGCAACUAGUGAUGAAGUGCUCAACUGGCCUUUGGAACAGUUGCAAAUCCGUCUUAGACAAUGUUUAGAAGGAAAAAAAUACUUGUUGGUGUUGGAUGAUGUGUGGAAAGUAAAUUAUAAAAUUUGGGGUCAAUUGAGAAAAUA